CCCUUAGAUGUUCUGGGCUGCACGCGCGCUACACUGAUACUUUCAGCGAGUCCACCACCUUGCCUGAGAGGGUGGGGUAACCUCUGGAAAGUGUAUCGUGAUGGGGAUCGAUUAUUGUAAUUAUUAAUCUUCAACGAGGAAUUCCUAGUAAGCAUGUGUCAUCAGCCCGUGCUGAUUACGUCCCUGCCCUUUGUACACACCGCCCGUCGCUCCUACCGAUUUUGAGUGGUCCGGUGAACCUUCUGGAUUGUGCGGCUUGCCGCGCGAGAAGUUAUGUAAACCUUAUCACUUAGAGGAAGGAGAAGUCGUAACA
This 313-nucleotide ribosomal RNA is filed under the name uncultured eukaryote. RNAcentral's name for it is "partial 18S ribosomal RNA". It matches the Rfam family "Eukaryotic small subunit ribosomal RNA", at positions 1470 to 1796 of the family's 1831-position model. The record is from RNAcentral.